CACAGCUCCCUGGCCUUGUGUGUGGAYUGAUACACUGCGGCCCAACCUCUCCAAGACUCUCCUGGCUGUGGUGCCGUCCCGAUGAUUUCCUGGACUCCAGGAACACCAGGAACACCAUCUGCAACCCCAAACCAGGGCCUCCCCCUCAAGUUUUUAGCAUGGCAGCAGAAUCGCUGACAUAGUGUGAGAGGGGAUCUGUAUGCACUGUCGCUGCUGGUGAUUCUUACUGUGCACUGAACUCAUUGAAMCCUACUACAGAGUAUCAGCCUGUUCCUGCUCCGUGCCUUCUGUGUUCCAGCAUCCAACUUUCAAGAGGCAUAGCUUUCUGCCCUAGAUUUACCCUCAUCUCC
This is a long non-coding RNA of Nothoprocta perdicaria, 350 nucleotides long. RefSeq lists it as uncharacterized. The record is from RefSeq and is a predicted model, not a curated record. The transcript is spliced from 3 exons. NCBI's taxonomy places the organism in Eukaryota, Metazoa, Chordata, Aves, Tinamiformes, Tinamidae.